Molecule: ribosomal RNA, 511 nt
Filed under: uncultured Actinomycetes bacterium
Lineage: Bacteria; Bacillati; Actinomycetota; Actinomycetes
Description: bacterial SSU rRNA
Rfam family: Bacterial small subunit ribosomal RNA
Source: RNAcentral
CAACGCCGCGUGAGGGAAGACGGCCUUCGGGUUGUAAACCUCUUCAGGAGGACGAAGGUUCAGGCGCGAAUAGCGUCCUGGACUGACGGUACCUCCAGAAGAAGCUCCGGCUAACUACGUGCCAGCAGCCGCGGUAAUACGUAGGGAGCAAGCGUUGUCCGGAAUCAUUGGGCGUAAAGCGCGCGUAGGCGGCCCUGUAAGUCCGCUGUGAAAGUCAAAGGCUCAACCUUUGAAAGCCGGUGGAUACUGCAGGGCUAGAGUCCGGAAGAGGCGAGUGGAACUCCUGGUGUAGCGGUGGAAUGCGCAGAUAUCAGGAAGAACACCGACGGCGAAGGCAGCUCGCUGGGACGGUACUGACGCUGAGGCGCGAAAGCGUGGGGAGCGAACAGGAUUAGAUACCCUGGUAGUCCACGCCGUAAACGAUGGGCAUUAGGUGCGGGAGGUGUCGACUCCUCCCGUGCCGACGCUAACGCAUUAAAUGCCCCGCCUGGGGAGUACGGCCGCAAGGCUA